GUUUUUAAAGCGUGGAAUAGAAGCGAAUGGUGUAGUUUAUGUUACUAUGGCAACUGAGGGGAACCCACCCUAUAACAGAAGGCAGCUGUCUGCAAGUCUGGGAAAUACUGUAAAGUGACGAGAUUGACGACGCGCCUGUUGACGACUCUUCGUUAAAGGUUUUGGUACCAAAUAACAGCGGCACUUUGAAACGAGUUAAAUGAGCAGUUGUCCACACGUCUCUCCUGCUGAUGAACUUCGCUUUAAAAAACUUGAUAAAUCUGAUUCACUGUCCUUAUCUUCCUUGACCAAGAGAAGUGAUAUCCUUUCUGGGGAUGGAGGCCUUUCAGCAGAGCACCACUGUAGCAGUGUAGAUGGCAAGGAACCUUAUAUUGGAGACAAGAUGGACUUCUUAAAGAAUGCUGAUGUCCGAGAUGACAGCAAUGGCGUACGAAACAGAACAGAUGUGACUUCAGAGCCCACCUCAAGAGGAUUAGAUGAAUACUUAUCAAGGUUUGAUGAGGCCAUGAAACUUCGGAACCAGUUAAAUAGUGAGAAGCCAAGUGCAGACAAUGGGAAUGGAGUAGAUGAGUUGGAUUCUUUCCGCAUAUUCAGACUAGUGGGCAGUGCGCUCCUUGCUUUUGCUGUCCGGAUGUUUGUGUGCAAGUACUUGGUCCAGUUCAAAAUCCAUUGAUUUAUUCUCCACCAUUGGCCAGCCAAGGAUACCACUCUCUUCUCCCAGGCUCUUAUCCUCAGCAAAUGCCAGCAAAGGCUGCUCAGCAUCCAGGCCAUGGACAGCAAAACUCUAGUGUUCCUCAGAUGGUACCACAGUUAGGUGGUCUUCAGACUGUGCAUCAGUUAAGUGGUCCUCAGAAUUUUCCUCAGUUACCAAAUUAUCCUGUUUCUGGGCAGACCAUUAAUAUACCACCAAUGGGACAUACGCCGAUGACGUCUCCACAACAUACAGGUGCCAGAUCAAGGAUGCCACCUCCACCUCAGAACAGUGCUGGUGAACCAGCGACAGCUGUCAGUAAUGCUUCUCAAGGAAAUGUUCCUCCGCAGUCAAAUUGGCAGUAUUUCCCAACACCCUUAAGCCAUGCCCAGCCCCAGCCUUUUGCAAAUCACAUUUACUCCUCAGCAGGACCUACAUCAGGACAACCAUCUUCACAAUCAAAUUCCGUUCCACCAACUACACAUCAGUAUGCGGCUUCUUUCGGAGGACCUCCUCUUCAGAACAGUUUCAUGAAUCAAGGACCUCCCCCAAUGAGUCAGCCUGGACAACCAACCCUGGGAGCUCAUCCAACUUCAUCUCCUUCAAGAUCCUUGGCUCCUCCCCCCGGGCCUCCAGGGGCCACUUUACCUCCUCCACCUUUGCAAAGUGCACCACCUAAGCCUGAUGGUUUUCUAACCCUCUGGCCCCUAAAGGCCAUGAAGUGGAAGACAUUUGUUUGUAUCAGCACUCACCUUUAAACUGCCUGCUGCUGUGGGAUCUGCGUCGAGACACGCCCGUUAUGGAGAUGAAGAACCAUGAAGAGUACAUCAGCGACAUGGCCAUUGAUGAGAACAAAAAGAUGCUGCUAACUGCCAGUACAAGAUCCUGUUUGGACCUCAGCUUUACUAAACUUCAACUUAUUGCCUGCCCUGCUACAACUGCUGACCCAUUCAAAAGAUGUCUUCCUGAUGGUUGCCACAGUUUUGCAUAACAUUGCAGAUCUGGGGUCGGCUUAUUGUCAGCAACUGAGGGAGAAAGGAAUUCUACUGUGUUUAACCCCAGCUCUGCGUGAUGACGACAUACAAGUGGCAAGGCUAAGCCUAGAAUUACUGAAUACGCUUUUCACAUACUGUCCAGAUGUUGCUGGAGACUUUUUCCACAACUCCGGUCUGCAGAUCAUUGAGUUACAUAAGGAUAAGCCUGAUCAUAAGCAGCAAGUUCAAGCAGUCUGGAACAAAUAUCAAGAACUGAUAACAGUAACCUGUGGACCCCCCAGUAUGGACUAAACGACAAAUCGACAACUGACAUUUUAGCAUUGCUUUCCUAAUAAAAUAAGAAUGAAUUGCACUUUUUUUUUUUUUUUUUACUUUAUUUUGAUAUAUGGUGUUAAAUGGGGAAUAUAAUUUAAUGUCCAUGGAAGGUGGCAGCUUUUCCUUGUUGUAUCUGCGAAUAUCUUGUCCAUAACGAAUAGGGUCUCACUUCAUGGUUUACGGGUAACUACAGACUCCAGAGCCCUGGCAACUUGGUCGACGUUGAGGUUAUUUAAUGAGACAUUUGUCUCUUUCCCAAAGUCUGAAGGAGAAAGAGAGAAGAAAAUCAACAUAAACUUUAAUAUUUAUUUAUGGCAGAGUGGCUGAGAUUCCAUACAGUUAUGUAUUCAUUCAAUGGCUUUUCUUCCUCUGCCAGGCUUUAUAAUCUCAGCUCCUGAUAUAUAUAUGUAGUAAAUGAGUAAAUUUAAGGAAAAACUAAAUUUGACAAAGUCUGGGGCCCUUGGUGUGAUCUAGAGGGUAACUGAACAAUCCUGUUCCCAGUUACAUAAUAAGCCCCCCAACGUCCUCCCAACCUGUUCUCCCAUACCCUGAGUACAUAAGCUCAGUAGGGGGAUGGAUCCAAGAUGUGGGAAUUACUACCAGUUACACACUCUGUAAUGCUAUACCUACCCACUCUGUAUUGGUAACAAAUCCUAAAGGUAGACCUGGAAAAGAAAGACUAAUGCGUCUUCCUCAUUGCAUUGUUAAAUGUGAUAUUUUGUCUUUUGUUUGUAUGAAAAGUUAAUAAAAUACACCUUUGAAAAAAAAA
Xenopus tropicalis (tropical clawed frog) is the source of this 2770-nucleotide RNA transcript. RefSeq lists it as uncharacterized. NCBI's taxonomy places the organism in Eukaryota, Metazoa, Chordata, Amphibia, Anura, Pipidae. The transcript has 11 exons. The record is from RefSeq and is a predicted model, not a curated record.